UACGUAGGGUGCAAGCGUUGUCCGGAAUUAUUGGGCGUAAAGAGCUCGUAGGCGGUUUGUCGCGUCUGCUGUGAAAACUCGGGGCUUAACCCCGGGCCUGCAGUGGGUACGGGCAGACUAGAGUGCGGUAGGGGAGACUGGAAUUCCUGGUGUAGCGGUGAAAUGCGCAGAUAUCGGGAGGAACACCUGUGGCGAAAGCGGCGCACUGGACCAUACUGACGCUGAUGCGCGAAAGCGUGGGGAGCAAACAGG
RNAcentral lists this ribosomal RNA (252 nucleotides) under uncultured bacterium. RNAcentral describes it as "partial 16S ribosomal RNA". It matches the Rfam family "Bacterial small subunit ribosomal RNA", at positions 524 to 776 of the family's 1533-position model. The record is from RNAcentral.